RNAcentral lists this ribosomal RNA (253 nucleotides) under uncultured bacterium. Its description in RNAcentral is "partial 16S ribosomal RNA". It matches the Rfam family "Bacterial small subunit ribosomal RNA", at positions 524 to 776 of the family's 1533-position model. The record is from RNAcentral.
UACGUAGGUGGCAAGCGUUAUCCGGAAUUAUUGGGCGUAAAGCGCGCGCAGGUGGUUUCUUAAGUCUGAUGUGAAAGCCCACGGCUCAACCGUGGAGGGUCAUUGGAAACUGGGAGACUUGAGUGCAGAAGAGGAAAGUGGAAUUCCAUGUGUAGCGGUGAAAUGCGUAGAGAUGUGGAGGAACACCAGUGGCGAAGGCGGCUUUCUGGUCUGUAACUGACGCUGAGGCGCGAAAGCGUGGGGAGCAAACAGG